CUCCCUCUUCCACCCCCUCGCCAGCCCAAUGGCAGCUGCGCCGGCGCCGCCCCCGCCGGCGGUCGCCGCCACCUUCUCGGCCCUCCUACACCGCCACGCCUUCCGUAGCUACAGACCCCGACCCUUCUACGCGAGACGCGUCGCCUCCAACGCGAGAGCCGAGGCGGCGGAGCCGGAGAGCCGGGGUGGACGCCUCGGCGGGACCCGCCUGGAGGAGGCCGUGCCCGCCGGGGAGGGGCGCUCGCGGAUCGACGCCUGGAUAUCGGCGCGGUUGGGCGGCGGGGGCGUGAGCCGUGCGCGCGUGCAGGCCAGCAUCCGCGCGGGACUCGUCGCCGUCAAUGGCCGCCCGGUCUCCAAGGUUUCACAUAUGGUGAAGGGUGGGGAUCUGGUCAGUUGCACGGUGUCGGAGCUACAGCCACUGAGGGCAGAGGCGGAGGACAUCCCGCUAGACAUUGUUUACGAAGAUGACCAUGUUCUUGUUGUGAACAAACCAGCUCAUAUGGUUGUUCACCCUGCGCCAGGAAAUGCAAAUGGCACCUUGGUCAAUGCUAUACUUCACCACUGCAGGAUUUCCACGUUUACAUGUUUAGCGCGCAAUUCAACUGGUGAUGAUUACCCAGAUUCUUCAGAUGACGAUGUUGAUGUAUUUGAUGUUGAUCAAUUUACUACGGAAGUUGUUAGUUCGGAAGUGCGGGAUGCUCUUGUGCGCCCUGGCAUUGUGCACAGGCUUGAUAAGGGGACAAGUGGACUUCUUGUUGUUGCUAAGGAUGAGCAUUCUCAUGCUCAAUUGGCCGAACAGUUCAAGCUGCACACAAUUCGUAGGGUGUACAUCAGUCUUACUUGUGGCGUACCUCAUCCAAAUUCUGGCAGGAUUGAAGCAUCUAUUGCACGUGAUCCUAACAAUAGGAUUCGUAUGGUUGCUAUUGCUGGAUCAGGCCACAGAUAUGCACGCAAUGCUGCUAGUUAUGCACAAAAUUCACUGCAUCCAGACUGUUUCAACUUCUUAAUUAUGACCUGGAAGUGCCCAGGUCAAAAUAGUCAGGUACAAAGUAAGAGAGGUCUUUGCUGGUGGUGGAUCCGCACUAGUAGAGUGGAGACUGGAGACAGGGCGCACUCACCAGGUAAUCCGUGCGCAUGCGAAGUAUCUAGGGAUCCCACUUCUUGGUGAUGAAACGUAUGGCGGUACCAAAAGCAUGGCACUGUCACUUUUGAGACCAAGAACCCCUUCAAAAUAUCACAGUGCGCUUUCGGAUCUGAUAUCUAAAGUAGACAGGCCAUGCCUUCAUGCUGCAUUGCUUGGAUUCAAGCAUCCACAUUCAGGAAAGAUCCUUGAAUUCUCAUGCCCCCCACCUGAUGAUUUUACUGAGGUACUUGGUGAAUUGCGACGUGUAACAUCUGGUGACUAAAAUGGUGAUGGUGUUGUGCGAUGACAACUCUGUCCCAACGCGAGCUGGGAGCAAUGUUUAGCCUGUAAUAUGUCCUGUCUAAGGUCUGCUUUAUCAGAUCUGUGUCUGUGGUGAGGCUGACAGGCUGUCACUGACUGAUUCAGCGGUUAAACUGCAGAAGCAGAAGUCAACAAGCUUUUGAACUCCUCCAUGGGGGCGAUGAAAGAAACUCUGGGGAUGUUCAACAAAAGCAUGGAAAUCUUGAACGUUUCUUUUUUUUGAAGACCUAGAAAUAGGGUUUUAGCUCUCUAUAUGUAUUGUUUAUUUAAUUUAUUUAUUUUUUUGCUGUGGCGGAUGGUGGUAUGUAUUGUUUAUUUAAUUUUCUUUUUUUUUUUUGCUGUGGUGGAUGGUGGCAGCCAAGGAUUAUAUAACUUCUGAAACAUUUAGCUGUGCGAUCCUGUGUAAUCUGUAGCUACCCGUUGCUCACCUUGAUUGAUUUCCAUUAUGAAAAUUGUACAAAGAAAAUAGUUACAGAUUUGCGGAGUGGAUUGAA
This is an RNA transcript of Panicum virgatum (switchgrass), 1938 nucleotides long. It is a transcript of the gene named RNA pseudouridine synthase 2, chloroplastic-like, with no coding region annotated. The record is from RefSeq and is a predicted model, not a curated record. NCBI's taxonomy places the organism in Eukaryota, Viridiplantae, Streptophyta, Magnoliopsida, Poales, Poaceae. The transcript has 7 exons.